GGAUUAGAUACCCUGGUAGUCCACGCUGUAAACGAUGAUCACUCGUUGUUGGCGAUAUACUGUCAGUGACUAAGCGAAAGUGUUAAGUGAUCCACCUGGGGAGUACGAUCGCAAGGUUGAAACUCAAAGGAAUUGACGGGGGCCCGCACAAGCGGUGGAGCAUGUGGUUUAAUUCGAUGAUACGCGAGGAACCUUACCAGGGCUUAAAUGUAGAUUGACACUUCGAGAAAUCGGAGUUCCUUCGGGCAAUUUACAAGGUGCUGCAUGGCUGUCGUCAGCUCGUGCUG
RNAcentral lists this ribosomal RNA (287 nucleotides) under uncultured bacterium. RNAcentral describes it as "partial 16S ribosomal RNA". It matches the Rfam family "Bacterial small subunit ribosomal RNA", at positions 775 to 1067 of the family's 1533-position model. The record is from RNAcentral.